UUUACUCGUUUAAAGUUUCUAGUUCAGAAGGAGCGCGGAGCUUUUCAGAGCGUUUUGCACAGGGGCCUGCGGCGGGAGGCCCGCCGAGGCAACGUGAAGGUAUAGGGUUCGCGGGGUUGGCAGAGCCACGACACAGUGGUCACUCUGUAAUGAUCCCUCCGCUGGUUCACCAACGGAGA
RNAcentral lists this unclassified non-coding RNA (179 nucleotides) under uncultured fungus. Its description in RNAcentral is "sequence contains ITS1". Lineage: Eukaryota; Fungi. The record is from RNAcentral.